CCUACGGGUGGCAGCAGUGAGGAAUCUUGGUCAAUGGGCGAGAGCCUGAACCAGCCAAGUCGCGUGAGGGAUGACGGCCCUACGGAUUGUAAACCUCUUUUGUCAGGGAGCAAAUGGGUCCACGCGUAGGCUUAGCGGGAGUACCUGAAGAAAAAGCAUCGGCGAACGCCGUCACAGCAGCCGGGUAAUACGGAGGAUGCGAGCUUUAUCCGGAUGUAUUGGGGUUAAAGGGUGCGUAGGCGGAAAGUAAAGUCAGCGGUAAAAAUUCGGGGCUCAACCCCGUCCAGCCGUUGAAACUGAUGUUCUUGAGUGGGCGAGAAGUAUGCGGAAUGCGUGGUGUAGCGGUGAAAUGCAUAGAUAUCACGCAGAACUCUGAUUGCGAAGGCAGCAUACCGGCGCCCAACUGACGCUGAGGCACGAAAGCGUGGGUAUCGAACAGGAUUAGAUACCCUGGUAGUC
RNAcentral lists this ribosomal RNA (459 nucleotides) under uncultured bacterium. Its description in RNAcentral is "partial 16S ribosomal RNA". It matches the Rfam family "Bacterial small subunit ribosomal RNA", at positions 338 to 795 of the family's 1533-position model. The record is from RNAcentral.